GGCCAGAUAUCUGCCCCAGUUAGUCCUCAGAAUCCAGCUCUACUUUGUCUUCUCCCUGUUUGGUUGCACCGCAGACCAGAGGUUAUACGUGACAAAAAAGCCUCUUUUAUCUCCGCCUUCGCUUCCACUGCCCUCUCCUACCUCCGCACCGCAGCUCUCUCCGCGUCGGCCUCGCCCCUGGGGACCGUGGAUUCUUUAUCUCCUUGGCGCGGCGCUCCUGCAGGCGGCGAUAGGAGCGGCGACUACAGCUCCCAGCAUGCCCCGCCUCCCACCCCUCGGGAAGCCGACCCGGUAGUAGCUCUUACCCCGCAAAGGUUCCCUCUUCUAGUGUGGUCCGCCGCUCACCGCUCGGGACUCCAGCGGCUCCGGGGCCGGUCUCCGGGACGCGGGCACUGCCCAGGGUGACAGCACGGGAGCAUGGCCAUGCACCUGGGCAGGCUGAGCGCGGGCCCCUGCUGGCGCGCCGCGCGGGGCUGCUGCGGGGAGCUGCGCGCUUGGGCCCCACGCAGCGCGGCGGGACGCCUCUGCCGGCCCCCUGGCACCGCUGGCCCCGAGCAGAGCCGCGGGCUGGGGCACGGCCCGAAGACGCGAGGUGGUCCCCGGCUGAGGACCGGGCUGGCCGCGGGGCUGGCCGGACUGGCGGGGCUGGCGGCCGCCGCCUUUGGGCACGUGGAGCGGGCAGAGAUGGUGCGCAAGAGUUCGGGGACGCAGAGCCCCCCGCCGGGGAAGCCUGAGGAGGAGGACGACGACCUGGCCCGCCGCUGCAGCUGCUUCAUGGCUUUGCCUGUGACCGACCUGCGCGAGCUGAGGGGGAGGCCGGGAGACAUGAAGACCAAGAUGGAGCUGCUGAUCCUGGAGACCCAGGCCCAGGUGUGCCAGGCGCUGGCACAGGUGGACGGGGGCGCCCGCUUCUCUGUGGACCGGUGGGAGAGGAAGGAAGGAGGUGGUGGCAUCAGCUGUGUACUUCAAGACGGGCGUGUUUUUGAAAAGGCUGGGGUGAGCAUUUCUGUUGUUCAUGGAAAUCUUUCAGAGGAAGCAGCAAAACAAAUGAGAAGCAGAGGAAAAAUACUGAAGACGAAAGAUGGUAAAUUGCCGUUUUCUGCUAUGGGUGUGAGCUCUGUUAUCCACCCUAAGAAUCCUCAUGCUCCUACUAUCCAUUUCAACUACAGAUACUUUGAAGUAGAAGAAGCUGAUGGUAACAAGCAGUGGUGGUUUGGUGGUGGAUGUGACCUUACCCCAACAUACUUGAACCAAGAGGAUGCGGUGCAUUUUCACAGGACUCUAAAGGAGGCUUGUGACCAGCAUGGUCCAGAUCUCUACCCCAAAUUUAAAAAAUGGUGUGACGAUUACUUUUUUAUAGCCCAUCGUGGGGAGCGGAGGGGCAUCGGGGGUAUCUUUUUUGAUGACCUUGACUCUCCAUCCAAAGAAGAGGUGUUUCACUUUGUGCAGAGCUGUGCCCAGGCUGUCAUUCCUUCUUACAUUCCCCUUGUGAAAAAGCACUGUGAUGACUCCUUCACCCCCCAGGAGAAGUUGUGGCAGCAGCUCCGGAGAGGACGGUAUGUAGAAUUUAAUCUGCUGUAUGAUCGAGGUACAAAGUUUGGCCUCUUCACCCCAGGAUCCAGGAUAGAAAGCAUCUUGAUGUCUUUACCUCUAACUGCCCGAUGGGAAUACAUGCAUUCACCCUCAGAGAACUCCAAAGAAGCUGAAAUUCUGGAAGUUCUGCGCCAUCCAAGGGACUGGGUGCGUUGAUGCAGAGUCUGUAUUGCUAAUUUCACCCUCAAAAGGAUGCAUGAUCCUGAAAAGGCUGAGGACUACUCAUCUAAAUCGGGAGGGUGUCUAUACCCCAGGGGGUGCAUGUGAUAUUUCAGUGAGGAAAGGAAAAGAGGCUGUAAAGCUGAUGAACUGAAACUUCAGUUCUGGCUGCAGAUGGAUGCGAGAGUUUAUAGACAUCACAGCCUUCCCAUGAGUCGGGAGAGGAGGGGCACAGAGAUGAAAGGCAAGGGGAAAACUGAAAAAGCAGAAGAACUGAGGGCACAAGAUUUGUGUUCUGAUCUUGGCUCUAUCAUUUCCUGAUGAGUGAUCUUGAGAACUCCCUAAAACUUGUUUUCCUCACCUGAGUAACAAGCUUAAUAAAAGCAUCCCACCAGUCCUUUAAUGAGGAUAAAUUGAGAUAACAUAUGAGGACAUGCUUCAUUAAUGGAAAUAAUACAAAAAUGUUUGUUAUUUGUCACAAAAAAGGCAGAUGUGCUUUUGAAACAUUUAGAGUCCAGAUUGACAGUGGGAUCAGUCUGUCUGUUUUCUCUCCUUUUCCAUUAACUCUGUGUCUGAACUUUCUCAUCUCUAAAAUUGGGAUAACAAUAUUUACUUCUCCAGGUUGUUUUAAGGAUUAAAAUGGAUAGGCUUGUAAAGUAUUUAGAGAAGUGUCUGUCUGUCCUCACUCUCAUCCCAGUAAGUGUCCAACAAAUAUUUUUGUUGUUUCCAUUUCCUCUCCAAAUCCAUGUGGAAAGACAUUAGUGUCUGUCACUGAGGUUCAGCUCAAUCAGAAGUCAAGCCAAGCCCCACUGACCCAGGAAAGAAAAAUCCCUGACUUUCUCAGAACUUCUUUUAGGGCAUUUAUUACUUUCUGCUUUCCUCUGUUCACUGUUCCCAUUGCUCACUCCUCAGACUCUUUGAGUGGGUGCGUGACUUUUUGCCCCCAUCAUUCUAUUAAAACUGCACGUGUUUUAGAGGAAGUAAACUAUAAAGGGUUCUUCAGACAGUUAAAAGUGAUGUGAUGCAUUUAGAAAGGGAGAGAAUUUUUAAAACCCAGAACAAUGAUCAAUUCUAUUUCAACUUGCAAUAUACAGUUAACAGCAUUAGGUGUGAGUGAGAAGUGGAAUAAGCCUGAUUAUAGGCGACUGUUACUAUAUUUCUGAAAAAGAUGUUUCUUCUUUCCUUCAUGAUUGAAUUUUCAGUUACCACCUGUCUUCUUGGAUAGAAAUAACUUCCUUUCUCUGAAGCUGUUGGGUUUCUCCGGGAGCUGGGAGGUUCUGCACCUUGCGUGUGACUGCUUUCCUCAGUUCAGUAAAGAGAUCAGUCACCAAGUCACCCUUUCCUCUCCAGUGAUAGCUGCCACCUCUCGUUUUCACAAGAAAUGAUAAAGCAAAUGAGUCAGCCCCCAGGACACUUCAAGACUGGCACGCAAUGCUCAGGCGAACCUCAACUUGAGCUGGUGCUAAAGAGGUUUUAGAAAAAGCCUUCAGAAACCCUUCCUCCAGAAAUAAAGGCAUGAAUCUGCCUUCCUUUUUUCCCCCUCUCUCUCCAUUGGCCUUUUAACGGCUUUCCAGAUUUCAUUGAACUUUUUAAAAACACAAAGUUAUGAUUUUUAGUUUGAAUAAAAAAGCAGUGAUAUAGUAGUCUGUGAUCUUCCCCUUUAAGGUAAGAAUCUGCAUAAUUAUGUGUAAAGAGAAGGUGUUUUGAAUUGUAGAGGAGGGAAGGUGUGUUUAUUCUCCUAACUGUCAGUUACUUUGCAAUCAGUUACUUUGCAGUCAAGUAUAGGACUAGAAAGGUCUUUUCGCUUAUGUGCUUGGUUGGUUUGUUUCAAUGACUGUUUUUAAACAGUGACAGGUUAUGUCCUCUGUUGUUUUCCUAACUACAUUUUUAAAUAUCACAACAAUUUCUGUUUUAAGUACUUGGAAUGAUAUGUACAAUAAAAUAAUUGUUAAAUAAUAGAAAAACAAAAGAUGCGACUGAGAAAUUCUAAAUGAAACCCACAUCUAAACUACUUUUUUGACCAGCUUUGUAAAUAAUCGCUUGUUUAUAAAGGUGUUAAUUUAUAUUGUAGGAGGGAGAAGGAUUUUAGUUCCUUUGAACUUUUAUUAUUAUCCUUGUCUGUGUACGCUAGAAAGAAAGCAAACCAAUAGCAUUGAAAUUGUUUAGUCAUUAAUUAUGGUAUUCCAUGAUUAUUCCUUUCCAAGAGUUCAGUGCACUAUCAUCUGACUGGGUAAAGUGAAGCGGUGGAGACCAGAACUUGGGCAGCAGGAAAGUGGAUAAAGUUGCUGGAAAAGAAAACUGUGAUAUUAGAGAAACUGGUUUAGCCCAGUACAGAGGCUAGAAAAAGUCAACUGCAUAUUUGCCCAAAGCAUCCACCUUAAAAAAAAAACAAACAGAUUUUAAUCAAUUGAACAGGUAGGACUUUGGUCGGAAUGUUUAUUUUUGUCUAUUCAUUUAUUCUUUAUAAUCAGUCAGAUAAAAUGGUUUGGAUUGGGUACCGUUAUGCUUGUAUAUUUGAGCAAAUCAAUAUCCACAAUAAAAGUGUUAUAAGAUGAUAAGAAAUGCCAAACUGGCCCAGAUCUACGAUCCAUCCACCCUAAUUUCACCUGUUUCAGACUGAUCUGGAGUCAACAUGCGCUAUGACCUGGUGGUUGCCCUCCAGACAACUUCUUAAGUUUAGGGAGAGCCUGUAAACAGUGCUGAUAACAGUGCCUGGCAAAUGUGUGGCUUGGGAGUGAUUCAUGUUUGCUGAACAAAUGAAUGAGCCAGAAAGUAACCAUCAUAUACUUACCUCCAUUCCCCUGAAGCUAGUCUUAGUUUAUGUUACCAACUAUGCAUGAUAAGUUCUUUGUUUUAAAUGUCUUAUAUUACCUUAAAAAUUACUUAUCUUCAGCAUCAAGAAUUCCUCCCUCCUCAACUUUGGUAUUCCAGGAUUUGACCUGAUUAAAGUUUAAGACAGAGAAAAAUGCUCUGCCACCUGGUUGAUGUACUCCCUGCCUCAGCUGAACCCAUUUCCCUCAGAAGUGGAAGAAUUCUGGCUUUGGUUGCAAACAACAUUCCGGUAAGAAAACCAGUUGUGUACCAGGGUGUUUACUGCAUGGCCUACAUGAAGGAUAAAUGUUAACUAGUUAUUACUGCUCCUUAAUACCAGCGAUGUUACAAGAUUAACAGAAGUAGAUAAGAAAAAGAAGCAUGAUUUAUAAGUGAUGCUGGCAGAAGGGUAAUUACAGGGGAAUGAGCUAUUAUUAUGUGGUAAUGGUUUAUUGCAAUAGACCCUAACAAGGCCUUUAUAGUAUAUAUCAAUGCUAUUUUCAAAGGCCUGGAGGGACAGGAAAAGGGAGGAAGCAGAAGCUCAUCCUUUGGCGAACGGAAUUUGUUGACAAACACACUCACUAUCAUAUUCUGCAAUUUCCAGGAACUAGAAGUGGAUGAUUAGUUGCAUCUGUUGUGAUAUAUACGGGCGUGACGAGUGGGAGCACUUUGCUGUAUACUUGCUACCCCAGGCUAGAUGAAUCAGAAUUUGGCUUAUUCUUUUGGGUAGAAACAUAAUAAGGGAAUAGAUCCAGCUGGGUUUUUUAAAAUAAAGCAACAUAGUAGAUAAAGCAGGACACAGCGUAAGAUUCUCUGAUUGAAACAGCUCUAUGGUAAGACUGUAGGAGUUUGACCCCACUGACCUUCUGAAGCAAUGUGGGCUUCAGAGAUUAAGAGAGAGCUCUAGAGUGACUUCUCUCCAAUCUAGCAGUUUGGUCGUGGGUUAAGUAAAUUCACACUGAGUAUCUCCAAAGAAAAACCAGUCUCUCAUGGACUUAAUUACACAGGAUAACAAGUAGCAAACUGUAAGAACUCUACACUCCCCCCACCCCAAGCUUUUAAUUUCUGGUAGAGGAGGACAUUCUGGGAACAAGGAAUCAUGUUAGAUCUACAUACUCACACCUAUCCCACACCAAAAAGUUUGCAUUGCUUUGGCAGUGCAUUGGUUAAAAAAAAAA
Molecule: non-coding RNA, 5741 nt
Organism: Vicugna pacos (alpaca)
Lineage: Eukaryota; Metazoa; Chordata; Mammalia; Artiodactyla; Camelidae
Source: RefSeq, a predicted model, not a curated record